GAACUGCGAUAAGUAAUGUGAAUUGCAGAAUUCAGUGAAUCAUCGAGUCUUUGAACGCACAUUGCACCCCCUGGCAUUCCGGGGGGCAUGCCUGUCCGAGCGUCAAUGCUGCCCUUCAAGCCCGGCUUGUGUGUUGGGUCGUCGUCCCCCCCGGGGGACGGACCCGAAAGGCAGCGGCGGCACCGUGUCCGGUCCUCGAGCGUAUGGGGCUUUGUCACCCGCUCGAUUAGGACCGGCCGGGCGCCCGCCGGCGUCAAACCCCCAAUCUUUCUAAGGUUGACCUCGGAUCAGGUAGGGAUACCCGCUGAACUUAAGC
This 316-nucleotide unclassified non-coding RNA is filed under the name plant metagenome. RNAcentral describes it as "partial contains 5.8S ribosomal RNA, internal transcribed spacer 2, and large subunit ribosomal RNA". The stretch from base 1 to 105 matches the Rfam family "5.8S ribosomal RNA", at positions 50 to 154 of the family's 154-position model. The record is from RNAcentral.